RNAcentral lists this non-coding RNA (78 nucleotides) under Spirochaetes bacterium GWB1_59_5. Lineage: Bacteria; Pseudomonadati; Spirochaetota. The record is from RNAcentral.
UAGCGAAACCACGCCGCUCCAAAACUGGAGCGGCCGGUCUGCCGGGCGUGGUGGCCCGGCACUGACGAGCAGCCACAC